Molecule: non-coding RNA, 3321 nt
Organism: Anas platyrhynchos (mallard)
Lineage: Eukaryota; Metazoa; Chordata; Aves; Anseriformes; Anatidae
Source: RefSeq, a predicted model, not a curated record
CUUGCAAACCUGUCCUUUGCUUCCUGUGUUGUGGGAGAGCACCUAGCCUGUAGUGAAAGCAGAAAGGGGAGGUGGAAGAAGGGUGUUUUUUCUGCCUCUCCCUCCAUGAGGAACUCUCUCCCCUUGAAGAGUAUCUCUGCCCUGCUGAAAACCCAGUGCUGAGAAGGUUUUGCUGCUCCAGCAGGUGGCCUAGCAGAGGGACAGAGGCUAUAAAGAGUGCUCUAAAGGACUAUUUUCUCCCCGUAUCCAUGCUCCAAAGGACGAUCUUCCUCCACAGAUCCACACAGGUAACCCAGGAGGGCUGGUGUCCUCUUCCAGUGCCUACCUGACCAGAAGUGACUGCCCACCUGCCUGCUCCGGUCUCUGACACUAAGAAAAGUUUUGCUCAACCCCCUGCACAACGUCCAGUGGUGUUGGGGAUCAUUCAGCUGCCACCCAGAGUCCUACAGUAUAAUGCCGUAACAAGAUGUUGUAAAACAAACCAUAAAAUGUAAAUGACGACUGUACCUGAACUGAAAAUACACUGGAGGCUAGAAAAAGAAGGGAGAGAGGAAAGGAAGCCAUAGCCAGCAUGCCUGAAAACCAGCAGUACCUUGUGGUGGAGCACAGGAUUCAUCUGGGUGACAUUUCAAAGGAUAAAUACAGAGCACUGGCCUGUUUUGACCUGAGGCUACAGGCGAAAGGUGUCCCCUAAGGUUAGGAGAGAGCUUGUCAAAAAGGCAGCGUAAAUUUGCAGAGGUAAUCACCAGUCUAUCUCCUCUCCCCACUGCCCGUGGAACUAUUAACUAAUAUCACUGUCUAAUCUUUUUUGUACUUAUUUAUUUUGCAGCGAGAAACUAGUGUUAUAAACACCCCUACUGUCAAAACUUGUCAUCCUCAUUACCUCAAGGCGGGCUCCAUCUCAGUUAUUCUAAUUUCAUAGUUUCUCGAAUUUACAGCCGCUGGAAAUUGAGUACAAAAUCCAUUAUCAUUUGUAUAUUUUAAUUAUGCAAAUGAGGCAGCUCAGCUGCUCUGGCCGGGACCUGCAGGGAUGCCUAACUUCAGUCUGGGUGAUUACAAUUUAUCCAGUCGAGUCACUUUAAUUGUAACAAGCUAAUUACAUUGUUCCAUUUGGCUUUAACAAAAGAAAGGAGACGAAGAUGCUUAAUGGCAAGGGCCCGGCGUUGCGCUGCCUCUCCCGGCGAGAGCAAGGGGUGAGGGGGACCCGGAGGUUUUGGGGACCCACCCCGGGCACGGUGGGAUGGGAGGGAGGGCAGGAGGUGCUGGACGUUGGGGCAGAUCUGAGCAGCAGGGGAAUUUGGGGAGGGGAUGUUCCCCAUUCCCAGCCAUCACUGGAUGGGAGCAAACUGUCCUCGAUAUGCAGGGGGUGCUGGGGGAGCUCAGCACCAUGCCCCUGCUCCUCCAGCCCAUCCUCUCCCCACUGGGAGUCUUACAGAGACAUAUCCCUGCCUCAGCCGAGGUCUCAAGGACUGCUGGCUAAGUCCCCAGGUGCCCACUUUUUAUCUCCUUUGUAAGAAAUAUUAUCUGCAUUUAUAGGCAUUUCAUUCAGGUACAGAAAAAAAAAAAAAUUAAAAGAAAAUCUUACCACCUCCAGCAGCCCAGAUCAGCAAUUACUUUCUCAGACCCACAAUAAAUGCUCAGUACCUAAAUUAAAUACCCAGGAGAGAUGUAAUAUGGCUGCCCACACCUUCAAGGAGGCUGUUAAUAAAUAAUUACUUCUCUUGCACUGGCCAUCUGAGGAUCUCAAAACCUUUUGCAAGCUUUAAUGAAUGAAGCCUCGGUAAAGCAAGGCGUAUCCUUAUCAGCUCUUUAUAAAUGGGGAACAAAGGUGCAGAGAGGCAGAGCAGCUGUAGGUUUUCAAGGUUAGAGGUACUUGUUUCAGCCGGACAGCUCCUGCUCCUUCUUAUAUCCGUGUGCUGAAGCUUGAAGACCACCCUGGAGAUCAGAUCCCAUCCCCAGUCAGCACAGCUCUUCCAGGCAGGUCCCACGGUGUCAUGCCGUGACACUGGCCAUCAGUUUCCUCCAAGCCUCCUUACCCAGAGGAAGGACUGCUCAUCAGGUACUGAUUGUGGGGAGGGUGUCUCGCCCAAGGCUGGUCUGAGGUCUGGAAUGAAGAAGGCGUUGUGCAAGGGAAGGAAAGGACAACUGCAUGGAGCUGGGUGCCAAGCCCUGGCUAGAUGCUGGGGGCAGAGAGAACACAUUUAAGGACAGCACCUCAACCAACGAGCAAAAAAAUGUUGAAUGUUGUGCAUGUGGGAUGUGCAAUUCAUUUGUGAAAAUUGGUCAUGUUGGCCUCAAAAACACCCCAAGUAGGGAGCCUGAUGAGGCCUCUCUCCCCGCUGGCAAAGCCAUUUCAGCCUUGCAGCACAUGAGCCGUGCUGCCCACGUGUGACAGCGAGCUCUGUGCCUUCCUUGCAUCAGUCCUCAGCGCCACCAGGAAUCAGGACCACCACCUCUAAUGACAGCCUCCACCGUGAGACCUUCAGCAUCUCUGCAGAAGCAUGCAGAAGGGUUUGGCCUCUAAUUCGGAUGCUCGCACCUACCUGCCCUUGGAUAAACACCUCCCGUCUUCAAAAUAUCUGCCUGACGACUGCGGGAUUAACCGGAGAAGAGAAUAAUGAUUCCUUGGCAGGGAAGAGACGAAAGAACCACAUAGAUCUCUUCCCUCUCCAGUUGCUAGGGAUGUGCAUUAUUAUUGUUAUUGUUAUUUCCUUUGAUACACAGCAUUCAAUUAAUUUUCUUCGACACACGUUUACGGCGCUCCAAGGAGCGUUCCAGGAGCGCUGCUUUUCCAGCACAUCCAGUUCGCCAGCAUCCUUUGUGCCAGUUCGGGUGCUUUGGAGGGGGGAGGAGGGGAAGAGCAGAGGAAAGAGGGGCCAUCCUUCCCAAAGAAGCACUUGCCCUUGGCCACGUGCACAGAUGCCGAGGCGAGGGAAGCCUGGGCGCUGCUCACCGUAUCCCCAGGUGAGCGUUCACGGGGUCCCGUUCAAUAAAGCAGCAGUAACCACCAUCUUGCUGCAUUCCCUUGCCAGCCACCAAACCAUGGCAGGGAAAGGAAAUUGAACCCAUUAAACACACACACAGAUGCCUCUGUGCCGUUGCCCUGCUCAGGAGGGGAGGAAGGAGCCUCUAUUAAUUUUUUUUUUCCUAUUGUGCCUUUACCAAAUGCAGUCAUUUAAUCAUUAAAAAGAGGAGGGAGAGAGCGAAAAAAAUAAAAAAUUAAAAAAUAAUAAUAAAAAAAGCGUGAUGAGGAGCGGCAGCAGCUAAUGUAAUAUCCAUGCAGUGAGUCUCCAGGAACGAGGCACAGAAAUUGACUGUCAC